UCCCCUUCGGGGGAUAAGUAAAGUGGCGCACGGGUGAGUAACACGUAGGUAAUCUACCUUCGGGUGGGGAAUAACCCAGGGAAACUUGGGCUAACACCGCAUGAUGCAGCGGCACCACAUGGUGACAGUUGUUAAAGCGGGGGAUUUUAGGACCUCGCGCCUGAAGAGGAGCCUGCGGCGGAUUAGCUAGUUGGUGAGGUAACGGCUCACCAAGGUCACGAUCCGUAGCCGGCCUGAGAGGGCGGUCGGCCACACUGACACUGACAUACGGGUCAGACUCCUACGGGAGGCAGCAGUCGGGAAUUUUGGGCAAUGGGCGAAAGCCUGACCCAGCAACGCCGCGUGAAGGAUGAAAUCCCUCGGGAUGUAAACUUCGCAAGAAUGGGAAGAAUUAGCGAGCGCUAAUACCGCUCGUGAUGACGGUACCAUUUGUAAGCUCCGGCUAACUCCGUGCCAGCAGCCGCGGUAAUACGGGGGGAGCAAGCGUUGUUCGGAUUUACUGGGCGUAAAGGGCGCGUAGGCGGCCACUGCAAGUCAGUUGUGAAAUCUCCGGGCUUAACUCGGAAAGGUCAACUGAUACUGCAGGGCUAGAGUGCGGAAGGGGCAACUGGAAUUCUCGGUGUAGCGGUGAAAUGCGUAGAUAUCGAGAGGAACACCUGCGGCGAAGGCGGGUUGCUGGGCCGACACUGACGCUGAGGCGCGAAAGCCAGGGGAGCGAACGGGAUUAGAUACCCCGGUAG
This 740-nucleotide ribosomal RNA is filed under the name uncultured Acidobacteriota bacterium. Its description in RNAcentral is "bacterial SSU rRNA". It matches the Rfam family "Bacterial small subunit ribosomal RNA", at positions 74 to 793 of the family's 1533-position model. Lineage: Bacteria; Pseudomonadati; Acidobacteriota. The record is from RNAcentral.